AGAGGAGCAGGAGCAGUGAGAGGAGCAGGAGCAGUGAGAGGAGCAGUGAGAGGAGCAGUGAGAGGAGCAGUGAGAGAUGCAGUGAGAGGAGCAGUGAGAGGAGCAGGAGCAGUGAGAGGAGCAGUGAGAGGAGCAGUGAGAGAUGCAGUGAGAGGAGCAGUGAGAGGAGCAGGAGCAGUGAGAGGAGCAGUGAGAGGAGCAGUGAGAGAUGCAGUGAGAGGAGCAGUGAGAGGAGCAGGAGCAGUGAGAGGAGCAGUGAGAGGAGCAGUGAGAGAUGCAGUGAGAGGAGCAGUGAGAGGAGCAGGAGCAGUG
Long non-coding RNA from Carassius gibelio (silver crucian carp), 312 nucleotides. RefSeq lists it as uncharacterized. The record is from RefSeq and is a predicted model, not a curated record. The transcript has 4 exons. Lineage: Eukaryota; Metazoa; Chordata; Actinopteri; Cypriniformes; Cyprinidae.